AACGAUAUAUUUUAAAUGGUAAAAAAUUUAUUUCAUACAUAAAAAUUGUUUGGUUCGAUUCCAACUAUCGUUA
This 73-nucleotide transfer RNA is filed under the name Storeatula sp. CCMP1868. RNAcentral's name for it is "tRNA-Met". It matches the Rfam family "tRNA". From Rfam's summary of the family: Transfer RNA (tRNA) molecules are approximately 80 nucleotides in length. The record is from RNAcentral. Lineage: Eukaryota; Cryptophyceae; Pyrenomonadales; Pyrenomonadaceae.